CACAGUGUAGCUUAAACAACAAAGCAUCUGGCCUACACCCAGAAGAUUCCACGACCCAAUGGACACUAUGA
This 71-nucleotide transfer RNA is filed under the name Dicrostonyx groenlandicus (northern collared lemming). RNAcentral describes it as "tRNA-Val". It matches the Rfam family "tRNA". From Rfam's summary of the family: Transfer RNA (tRNA) molecules are approximately 80 nucleotides in length. Their secondary structure includes four short double-helical elements and three loops (D, anti-codon, and T loops). Further hydrogen bonds mediate the characteristic L-shaped molecular structure. tRNAs have two regions of fundamental functional importance: the anti-codon, which is responsible for specific mRNA codon recognition, and the 3' end, to which the tRNAs corresponding amino acid is attached (by aminoacyl-tRNA synthetases). tRNAs cope with the degeneracy of the genetic code in two manners: having more than one tRNA (with a specific anti-codon) for a particular amino acid; and 'wobble' base-pairing, i.e. permitting non-standard base-pairing at the 3rd anti-codon position. The record is from RNAcentral. Lineage: Eukaryota; Metazoa; Chordata; Mammalia; Rodentia; Cricetidae.